CAUUAGAUGACUGAAAGCAAGUCGUGGUCUCUUAAACCAUAAUAGUAAUUAGCAAUUACUUCUAAUGA
Molecule: transfer RNA, 68 nt
Filed under: Asymmetricata circumdata
Lineage: Eukaryota; Metazoa; Arthropoda; Insecta; Coleoptera; Lampyridae
Description: tRNA-Lys
Source: RNAcentral